This 482-nucleotide ribosomal RNA is filed under the name uncultured bacterium. RNAcentral's name for it is "bacterial SSU rRNA". It matches the Rfam family "Bacterial small subunit ribosomal RNA", at positions 28 to 507 of the family's 1533-position model. The record is from RNAcentral.
GAUGAACGCUAGCGGCAGGCUUAACACAUGCAAGUCGAGGGGUAACAGGGGAGCUUGCUUCCGAUGACGACCGGCGCACGGGUGCGUAACGCGUAUACAACCUACCUUUUAGCGGGGAAUAGCCCAGGGAAACUUGGAUUAAUGCCCCAUAGUAUAUAGACUUCUCCUGAAGUUUAUAUUAAACAUUUAUGGCUAUUAGAUGGGUAUGCGUCCUAUUAGUUAGUUGGUAAGGUAACGGCUUACCAAGGCGGCGAUAGGUAGGGGUCCUGAGAGGGAGAUCCCCACACUGGUACUGAGACACGGACCAGACUCCUACGGGAGGCAGCAGUGAGGAAUAUUGGACAAUGGGCGAGAGCCUGAUCCAGCCAUGCCGCGUGCAGGAAGACUGCCCUAUGGGUUGUAAACUGCUUUUACAGAGGAAGAACCACCCCACGUGUGGGGGUUUGACGGUACUCUGCGAAUAAGGAUCGGCUAACUCCGUG